Molecule: ribosomal RNA, 119 nt
Filed under: Pteropus alecto (black flying fox)
Lineage: Eukaryota; Metazoa; Chordata; Mammalia; Chiroptera; Pteropodidae
Source: RNAcentral
GUCUACAGCCAUGCCACCCUGAAAGUGCCCGAUCUCGUCUGAUCUCAGAAGCUAAGCAGGGUCGGGCCUGGUUAGAAUUUGGAUGGGAGACCACCUAGAAAUCCCAGGUGCUGUAAGCG